RNAcentral lists this ribosomal RNA (559 nucleotides) under Bacillus subtilis. RNAcentral describes it as "bacterial SSU rRNA". It matches the Rfam family "Bacterial small subunit ribosomal RNA", at positions 359 to 916 of the family's 1533-position model. The record is from RNAcentral. Lineage: Bacteria; Bacillati; Bacillota; Bacilli; Caryophanales; Bacillaceae.
AAGCAUCGCAUGGAGAGUCUGACGGAGCACGCCGCGUGAGUGAAGAAGGCCUUCGGGUCGUAAAACUCUGUUAUCAGGGAAGAACAAGCAUCAAAGUAACUGUUGGGGCUUGGACGGUACCUGACCAGAAAGCCACGGCUAACUACGUGCCAGCAGCCGCGGUAAUACGUAGGUGGCAAGCGUUGUCCGGAAUUAUUGGGCGUAAAGGGCGCGCAGGCGGUUUCUUAAGUCUGAUGUGAAAGCCCCCGGCUCACCCGGGGAGGGUCAUUGGAAACUGGGAGGCUUGAGUGCAAAAAAGGAAAGCGAAAUUCCACGUGUAGCGGUGAAAUGCGUAAAGAUGUGGAGGAACACCAGUGGCGAAGGCGGCUCUCUGGUCUGUAACUGACGCUGAGGCGCGAAAGCGUGGGUAGCGAACAGGAUUAAAUACCCUGGUAGUCCACGCCGUAAACAAUGAGUGCUAAGUGUUAGAGGGUUUCCGCCCUUUAGUGCUGCACCAAACGCAUUAAGCACUCCGCCUGGGGAGUACGGCCGCAAGGCUGAAACUCAAGAAAUUUGACGG